UUGUCCAGACCUAACCUGCCUGAUUUUCUUUUCCUGACCCUUGUCCCUGUUAAACAAACUGUCCUCGAUCUGUUUCUUUAGGUUAAAGAUUUCUGGACCUGUUCUUAAAGGUUAGUGUUGAGAGCCUCAGUGAGGAAUCGUCCAGCCAGGGCAUGAUAGUCCACCCCUGCAAACUGCUGAUUAAAAAACCGUGGGUGACCUGAAAGAGACAGGAAAAGAGUUUUUGAUGAGUUUCCCCCGUCGCUGCCUGAGAGCUUCCAUGUGCUCGCUCUUCCUGGCUUUUCUAUGACCGGUGUGUUUGCUGUGAGCCGACCAGCCUCCACUGCCCACUUCGUACUUUUUUCUGUGACAUUGUAAAUAAACUCCUUUGUGUGUAUAUUCACCAGUGGCCUGUCUCUGCUCUGGGGUCCAAACAAACAAAACCUGGUCUGUCAGAAAGUAGCCUCGUCGAUUAUAAUUGGACUGAUCCUAGAUUCUUGUGGCAAAUGUGGCAAACAGUAUUUGAGAAUGUACAAAAUGAUGACAAUUUAAUGACCAUUUAAAAAACAACAAAACAUGAACAAUAGGGAUGCAAAACCAAACUGUAAAAAAAUGAACCAUUCACUGCACAAACCAAUGUCCAGUUUUGCACAUGUGUCACAGUUUUUGAAUCCACAAGGAAACAAAAGUUGUUGCUUCAUCAUUAUUUAAGUCUGCUUUGUUGGAACAUUUUGUAACUAGCAUUGAAUACAAUAGUGACUUAAAAAAAACAAAACAACUGUCUGCAAAUAUGAUAAUGGUAACACAUCUAAAACGAUGGGGCAUCCUUGGCAAGAACAAGCAGGACUCGGAAGGUAAAAAUAACUCUCCUUCCUGCUGAGUGUAUUAUUACAUUUCAUGUUUGCAAUAAAAACA
Long non-coding RNA from Centropristis striata (black sea bass), 894 nucleotides. RefSeq lists it as uncharacterized. The record is from RefSeq and is a predicted model, not a curated record. The transcript is spliced from 3 exons. Lineage: Eukaryota; Metazoa; Chordata; Actinopteri; Perciformes; Serranidae.